This 28-nucleotide small RNA is filed under the name Bombyx mori (domestic silkworm). RNAcentral describes it as "ovarian small RNA-37420". The record is from RNAcentral. Lineage: Eukaryota; Metazoa; Arthropoda; Insecta; Lepidoptera; Bombycidae.
UUCGGGGUCCGCUUAUCUGUGCAUCGGC